Molecule: ribosomal RNA, 373 nt
Filed under: uncultured organism
Description: partial 16S ribosomal RNA
Rfam family: Bacterial small subunit ribosomal RNA
Source: RNAcentral
GGAGGGUGCAAGCGUUAAUCGGAAUUACUGGGCGUAAAGCGCACGCAGGCGGUUUGUUAAGUCAGAUGUGAAAUCCCCGGGCUCAACCUGGGAACUGCAUCUGAUACUGGCAAGCUUGAGUCUCGUAGAGGGGGGUAGAAUUCCAGGUGUAGCGGUGAAAUGCGUAGAGAUCUGGAGGAAUACCGGUGGCGAAGGCGGCCCCCUGGACGAAGACUGACGCUCAGGUGCGAAAGCGUGGGGAGCAAACAGGGAUUAGAUACCCUGGUAGUCCACGCCGUAAACGAUGUCGACUUGGAGGUUGUGCCCCUUGAGGCGUGGCUUCCGGAGCUAACGCGUUAAGUCGACCGCCUGGGGAGUACGGCCCGCAAGGUUA